RNAcentral lists this ribosomal RNA (382 nucleotides) under uncultured Streptococcus sp. RNAcentral describes it as "bacterial SSU rRNA". It matches the Rfam family "Bacterial small subunit ribosomal RNA", at positions 997 to 1382 of the family's 1533-position model. The record is from RNAcentral. Lineage: Bacteria; Bacillati; Bacillota; Bacilli; Lactobacillales; Streptococcaceae.
UUUCUAGAGAUAGAAAGUUACUUCGGUACAUCGGUGACAGGUGGUGCAUGGUUGUCGUCAGCUCGUGUCGUGAGAUGUGGGUUAAGUCCCGCAACGAGCGCAACCCCUAUUGUUAGUUGCCAUCAUUCAGUUGGGCACUCUAGCGAGACUGCCGGUAAUAAACCGGAGGAAGGUGGGGAUGACGUCAAAUCAUCAUGCCCCUUAUGACCUGGGCUACACACGUGCUACAAUGGUUGGUACAACGAGUUGCGAGUCGGUGACGGCGAGCUAAUCUCUUAAAGCCAAUCUCAGUUCGGAUUGUAGGCUGCAACUCGCCUACAUGAAGUCGGAAUCGCUAGUAAUCGCGGAUCAGCACGCCGCGGUGAAUACGUUCCCGGGCCUU